AUACAAACCACACCGAAUCCAAGAAAACACCUUCGCCCGAUGGAAUAUGGCUGCGAAUAUGCAAUACAUCACACACACACACACACACACGUGCUCAUACAAGGGAAAUUAGCUACACACUGCAACAUCAUCAUUAAACUGCUGCUGCAGCACCACCGUCGACGUCGAGGAUCACACCCAUAGGCUUACGUUUUUCUCUCUUUUUCUUUGUGCGGGGGGUUUGCGUCUUUGAGAGAGGGGUGACUUGAGGUGGUGCGAAUAUGUGUGUGUGUGCGCGCAGAGCCAUUAAAGCACCAAAAAAAAGAAAGAAAUACGCGAACAGGAGAGGUGAGGAGAAUUUCCAGAGCACGCGGAGUUUGCAUCUCGCUCCCCUCUGAUGCAAGAGUGCGCCAUCGCAGCGCAGCGCGCGAGUGUGCGAAUAGCAACGGUAACGAAAGCCCGGCCGUUCUCUACGGCGCGCCUUCCCGAGAGUCGGCAGGGCUCUUUUGUGCGAGUGGCGAGCGAGCGCGCGCGCGUGUGCGUGUGCCGCCGUGGUUCACAAAGGAAGCGAAGGCAAGAGAAGGAGAGGUCUGCACAUCGAUUGCCUGAGAGGAGGGCCCGCUGGGAGGGUGUAUGCUGGCAGGCGCGUUAUUUAGUCAUGCCCAGUGCCCCUCCUUUCCGCCACUCACCCUCAGACGCGCGCCGUGUCUUCUGUGCAGUCACUUUUCCUUACCUCUGGCCUCCUCUUUUCGUUCUCUUUCAUCUCUGCCUUCGGCGACUGCGCGUGUGCGCUAACGUGUACGCCAUUGGUGUUCAUGCUGCUACGGCCGCGCCCGUUGCUUACACACGCACACGCACUGACACAACGCCUUCCCAAG
RNAcentral lists this unclassified non-coding RNA (857 nucleotides) under Leishmania donovani. Its description in RNAcentral is "gene:unknown". Lineage: Eukaryota; Euglenozoa; Kinetoplastea; Trypanosomatida; Trypanosomatidae. The record is from RNAcentral.